RNAcentral lists this ribosomal RNA (169 nucleotides) under Parapriacanthus ransonneti (pigmy sweeper). RNAcentral describes it as "partial small subunit ribosomal RNA". Lineage: Eukaryota; Metazoa; Chordata; Actinopteri; Acropomatiformes; Pempheridae. The record is from RNAcentral.
CACCGCGGUUAUACGAGAGGCCCAAGUUGAUAGGCAUCGGCGUAAAGAGUGGUUAGGAGAAAUAAAAAACUAAAGCCGAACGCCCUCCAAGCUGUUAUACGCUUACGAAGGUAUGAAGCACACCCACGAAAGUGGCUUUACAUCCUCUGACUCCACGAAAACUAUGAAA